ACAUGUCGUUCAACCCGGAAACCGUAGCAAAACGUUGCGCCCCAGAUGUACUACAUCCGCUAUUUUGAUGCAGUCACAUGACCUACCAGCGUCAAUUGCGUCGCUUCACUUCCAUUCCAUUCAUAAAUCCUCUUCUGUGGCCUCGUGGGGUAGUAAAGUGUCCAUGAAAUGCUCACUUCAGAAUCUAGGCGGAAGUAGUAGGUCAUCCGGGUACUCUUCGCCUGCUAUGUAUUCGGACAUAUUCUGCGAAGUGCGUGUACACAGCAUGGUAAAACAAUUCACUGGAGCGGUGAGCUAGCAAGCUGCAUAAAAUUCGAUGAGAUAAAAAAAACGCAGUGUCCCUCAAAACAAUGGGCUUGACAGACAGUCACUAAAUGAACUGUUACUGUAUGGAAAAGAGCUGCACACAGAUUGGACACUCGUUUCAUCGAAAGCUGUGAGAUGGUGGACGUGCCAGAUGCUUCAUAUCGCUCUGUCUGCUGACGAGCUGUACCUGUCCCUUUUUCGGUUCAGAUGAGAACCCCUCCCGUUGUGCGUGCAUGAAUCGCAGGCCUCUCUCGUCUCCUCAGCCUGUUAUCUGUAAAGAGGGCUGAUCUCUUGGCACAAAUCGUGGAGUGAGCUGUCGAAGACGUGGCAGGGUUAAGGAGCGAGCACCGCGUCGAGUCUUGAGAUGAGAAAUCGAGUGGGUGUGCGUGUUGAGUUGGAGAAAAAGGGAAAUAUCAGACAGGGAGCAUUUCAGAAAUACCCAGCCUUACCUGUAUGACAAAACGUCUAGGGGAAAUUGAAUAUAAACUGCUUGAAAAUUUAAAGUAAAUGUCUUGAGUGUUGUUAGCGUGUUCUUAUGCACUCUUAAACAUUAUGCUUGGAAAAAGGGAGUUUUCACAGCGAUGCCAUAAAAGAACCACAUUGUGGUUCUCCAAAGAACCUUUCCACAAACAGUUCUUAAAUGAGCCAUUUUUUCUUUCCUUUGAGCAACUUUUUUUUGCACUAUAAAUAAACUUUU
Molecule: long non-coding RNA, 1003 nt
Organism: Megalobrama amblycephala (Wuchang bream)
Lineage: Eukaryota; Metazoa; Chordata; Actinopteri; Cypriniformes; Xenocyprididae
Exons: 3
Source: RefSeq, a predicted model, not a curated record